CGGCUCCCUUCGGCUUCACCCGCCAGGGAUGCAAAUGGCGGCUUCGCUCGGAAGCCCCGAGGGCCCAGGCGCUCGCUCGCUCGCUUGAAAGGGGAGAGCGCCGGCCGGGAAAGUCUGGCGGGCGCCCGAAGCUUGCCUGCCACGCUGCCCAGGCCGAGCCUGCUGCUGGCGGAGGCCCCGGGCAAGCCGGCCUGGAGCGGGUUGAAGGGGAGGCCGCAGCGCGCCGCGCUCACCUCCUGAGGCCUUGGCGGAGGCCGCCCGAGAGCGGGGUGGUUCCGAGGAGCCUGGCUGCGAGACUGGGGGCGGGGUCGGUGAGGAGCUGAGGAAAGGAGCCUUUGUGCGAGGCGGCGCUCGGGCUCCCUCUGGCGGCCUCUGCCGGCCGCGCCCGGAACUGCGCCGCUUGGCUCGCCCGCUGCCUGCCACGCCGAGGCGGGUGUGUGCGCCAGAGAGAUAAUCCCCCGCCACUGUGCAGCUGUCACACAUGCCAACUGUCCUUGUCAAGGGAGGACAGCCCCGCUUACGCGCUCGCUUUGCAAGCGCAGCCCGCUCGUCUCCACGGAGCUGUCCCUUUAGCAAGCAAAUCGCGCGGCGGGUUUCCAUGGAGGUGGAAGGGAAGGGAUGCUGCGGUGUGACCCCCCCUCCUCCUCCUGCCACUCACGUUGCUUCUCUCCCUCCCCCCCCCUCCAGCUGUAAAUUCUUCUCCUGCUGUGCAGGUUCGGCUCGCUGCUUCCUCCUCAGACCGUAACCGAGUCUCUCAGCUGCGAACUGGGUCAAAAAACUCUGGCACUUCCUCUUGCACAGCUUCUCCUUGAAAGGAAAACCUCGGCUAGUUUCAGUGGAGCCUCUUUUCCAAUGUGCUUAGGUUCGCAACCUUACGCUCCAGUGGUAAACACAUUAAUUUCCUGGCAUCCUCUUAUGUAAAUAGAGAUGCUGGAGCUCAAGUUUGUGUUUAUCCUGGUUUCUAAUCGCAGAUGUUUGGCAGGUUGCGGUUACUACCGGGGAAAAAAGCAUUUCUGCAUGGUUAUAUUGUUUCUUCAGACGUUCAUUGAAAACAGAUUUUCCGGGCUGACGGGGACUUGCUUCCACAAAGCUCUCUUAGCCAGAAUGUCAGGCGCAUCACUGUAAUUAUUGUUCAGUGGCGAAGAAAAAAAGCACUCUGCACCUGCUCAAACACAUUCCAUUCUCUGUCGGUUCAUAAAUUCCAGAAAAUCCUAAAAACAGAUUCCUGGGUGCAGCAGAGGAACAAUUUCAUUAUAACUUCUACCUAUCAUAUUUAAGGAUCCGGAUGCUAAAUUAAUCGCUUGUAGAUUAAAGUCAGGGAACGGUGCGAUUUUAUGCAUCUUUUCUUGCGACUUUAUUUCAAGUAAAUGUGCAUGGAAUCGCAGCCCUAGGGUAGGACGGCACCUCAGUGAUACCUCUGUUGGAAGAACUAAUCCGUCUGGGGUUUGAAGUUGCCCUACAGCUGGCGGAAGUUGGGGACUGAAAGAUGAAGAUAACCUUUAACUCUCUGUUCUUAAGCAACAUCGUUAAAAGCAUGUUCUAUUGAAUAAGAAAGAGCGCAGUUCCGAGAGUAGAACCUAAAAAGUUCCCCUUAUUUCAGUUACAGUUUGCUCCCGAGCAAUAUGGAGGAACAGAAUGUGGUUGACAUACAGGCCUUGAAUCGCUUUCCUGGCGGACUAGAGCGUUUUAGAGGGGACUACCCUAGUACCAGCAAAUGCUCUUGGGAAACAAUUUUUAGGAUUCCGGAUUUACAGACUAGCGAGAAUUAGAGAAGCCGCUUUGGAUUUACGAGGGGCAUCUUAAAACCCACCAGCCUUUGGGUUUCUGGUGCUGCAGACUAACAAAGCUCAGCAGAAUCCCUCUUUUUGCAUGUUUCCGAGUGGCAGCUGAGAAAACUCUGUGGCACAUUCAAGCUUGGGAUGCAAGAGCCUCACUGAAUAAGUCCUCCUUUACUGACCACUGUACUGGUGUUGCCAGUCGCGACUUCCGAAGAGCACAUUCUUGCAAGCCUAAAGCCUGAAAUUGUGAACACGGAGCUAGAGCGUGGUGGCUGUUCUGAAUUAGUGAACUUGAAGUACAUGGUGCUGUCGUAAAAAUAGAUAAGCUUAGCUGCCCCCCUCUCUUUCCAGUUUUUCGGGGUGGCUGUAGGGGGAAUAUGAUGCAGCUGAUCACAGAAUGAGUGGGGUUUGCUGUUGCUUGAAGCAAGCAGGUCUGACCGGAUAGAUGCACCCAACGGUGCAGUCGGAAGGAAUGCCUUCCAGUUCCAGCGCAAGCCUAUACGUGCCUUGCCAUUUACUUCCAGUCUUUCUAUAGUCCUGAUCCCAUGAAGAGAGAUCUGCCCAGGCAAGGUGCAAGAAUAAUCUCUGUUAUUGUAUGUCCUGGGCUCAGCCAAACACCUACCACAUGCUCACUCAACACUGAAUGGAAGACUCAUCACCAGAAGUGUCUGCUGAGUCAGCUAAGAUGGACAAGUUGUGACUGUCUAACUAAUACUGAGAAGAAACAGUAGGCUCUCCUCUGGGAAAUUCACACUUCUAUUGUUUGCAGGCAAAAUCUAAUAUUUAAUGCUAAGGUCCUACCUUGGAGGUAUUAUUCCACAGCUCACCCUUGCCCUAUGAGCCUAAGGAAAGUUUUACAAGCGAAGACUUGCACUGAUGAGUUGUAGCAAUUUCCUUUGCUCGUUUUGCUAUGUAUAAAAUAUCUCUGUUGUUUAAACAAUGUUUUCCCUCCAUCUACUCAGCCAUCUGCUGUUCCCAUUCAAUCCUUCAAUGGCAAAACGUUGCAUAUUAUAUCACAUACAUUUCCAAGGCAACAGUGUGAUGGCAUAAAUACCGUAUGAUGAUUUCAUGCAGCUGAGUUAGGAAGAGGGAAAACCUUUCAUGGAAGCAAACAUUUGGAACAACUCUGUGGGUUAAACCACAGAGCCUAGGA
Podarcis muralis (Common wall lizard) is the source of this 2931-nucleotide non-coding RNA. The record is from RefSeq and is a predicted model, not a curated record. Lineage: Eukaryota; Metazoa; Chordata; Lepidosauria; Squamata; Lacertidae.